RNAcentral lists this transfer RNA (85 nucleotides) under Felis catus (domestic cat). It matches the Rfam family "tRNA". Rfam says of the family: Transfer RNA (tRNA) molecules are approximately 80 nucleotides in length. Lineage: Eukaryota; Metazoa; Chordata; Mammalia; Carnivora; Felidae. The record is from Rfam by way of RNAcentral.
GCCUGGGUGGCUCAGUCGGUUGAGCGUCUGACUUCAACUCAGGUCAUGAUCUCACGGUCUGUGAGUUCGAGCCCCGUGUCAGGCU